UCAGCUGCCGUUCUUCUUCCUGUGCAAGAGGAGCAGCAGUUGGUUACUCAUCACCUUCUGCCUGACAAGUUCCGAAGGAGCAGGAGUUGGACGUAAUGACCCACAACAUGCUAAAAGGAGUUAACUUUCGAAGUGGCCCUGAAAGGGUACCGCCAAAAGAAGAAGAAAAAAACAAAGAAAAGAAAGGAACCGUUUAGCCCCUUCGGUUAUUGGCAUUUGUGGCCAGCAAAACAGCAUUUGGCUCCUCUGCAUUUACAGGAUGCUCCCUGUCCAAAUUUUAUCCUUCCAACAAGAUUAUUAAACCAGACUAUAACCAA
This is a long non-coding RNA of Pantherophis guttatus, 317 nucleotides long. RefSeq lists it as uncharacterized. NCBI's taxonomy places the organism in Eukaryota, Metazoa, Chordata, Lepidosauria, Squamata, Colubridae. The record is from RefSeq and is a predicted model, not a curated record.